Molecule: ribosomal RNA, 641 nt
Filed under: uncultured bacterium
Lineage: Bacteria
Description: bacterial SSU rRNA
Rfam family: Bacterial small subunit ribosomal RNA (bases 1-536)
Source: RNAcentral
CCUACGGGAGGCAGCAGUAAGGAAUAUUGGUCAAUGGACGCAAGUCUGAACCAGCCAUGCCGCGUGCAGGAUGAAGGCCCUCUGGGUUGUAAACUGCUUUUAUAGGGGACGAAAAAGGGACUUUCUAGUUCAACUGACGGUACCCUAGGAAUAAGCACCGGCUAACUCCGUGCCAGCAGCCGCGGUAAUACGGAGGGUGCAAGCGUUAUCCGGAUUUACUGGGUUUAAAGGGUGCGUAGGUGGGUUGGUAAGUCAGCGGUGAAAUCUUCAAGCUUAACUUGGAAACUGCCAUUGAUACUAUCAAUCUUGAAUCAUCUGGAGGUAAGCGGAAUAUGUCAUGUAGCGGUGAAAUGCUUAGAUAUGACAUAGAACACCAAUUGCGAAGGCAGCUUACUACGGAUGUAUUGACACUGAGGCACGAAAGCGUGGGGAUCAAACAGGAUUAGAUACCCUGGUAGUCCACGCCCUAAACGAUGGAUACUCGACAUACGUGAUAUACUAUNUGUGUNUGNGNGAAGACAUUAAGUAUACCUACCCGUACGGAAGGUAACGAGUACGACGAAGAGUUAGUAACGUACGAAAGUAGUAAGUUAGUACGGACGUAGAGACGUUAGCCGACGGACGACGACGAGGGAGGAGGG